AUUGAACGCUGGCGGCAGGCCUAACAUAUGCAAGUCGAACGGUAGCACAGAGAGCUUGCUCUCGGGUGACGAGUGGCGGACGGGUGAGUAACGUCUGGGAAACUGCCCGAUGGAGGGGGAUAACUACUGGAAACGGUAGCUAAUACCGCAUAACGUCGCAAGACCAAAGUGGGGGACCUUCGGGCCUCACACCAUCGGAUGUGCCCAGAUGGGAUUAGCUAGUAGGUGGGGUAAUGGCUCACCUAGGCGACGAUCCCUAGCUGGUCUGAGAGGAUGACCAGCCACACGGGAACUGAGACACGGUCCAGACUCCUACGGGAGGCAGCAGUGGGGAAUAUUGCACAAUGGGCGCAAGCCUGAUGCAGCCAUGCCGCGUGUAUGAAGAAGGCCUUCGGGUUGUAAAGUACUUUCAGCGGGGAGGAAGGCGGUGAAGUUAAUAGCUUCACCGAUUGACGUUACCCGCAGAAGAAGCACCGGCUAACUCCGUGCCAGCCGCCGCAGUAA
This 504-nucleotide ribosomal RNA is filed under the name uncultured bacterium. Its description in RNAcentral is "partial 16S ribosomal RNA". It matches the Rfam family "Bacterial small subunit ribosomal RNA", at positions 30 to 523 of the family's 1533-position model. The record is from RNAcentral.